This 407-nucleotide ribosomal RNA is filed under the name uncultured bacterium. Its description in RNAcentral is "bacterial SSU rRNA". It matches the Rfam family "Bacterial small subunit ribosomal RNA", at positions 917 to 1322 of the family's 1533-position model. The record is from RNAcentral.
GGACCCGCACAAGUAGUGGAGCAUGUGGUUUAAUUCGAAGAUACGCGCAGAACCUUACCAACACUUGACAUGUUCGUCGCGACUCUAAGAGAUUAGAGUUUUCGGUUCGGCCGGACGAAACACAGGUGCUGCAUGGCUGUCGUCAGCUCGUGUCGUGAGAUGUUGGGUUAAGUCCCGCAACGAGCGCAACCCUCACUUUUAGUUGCCAUCAUUUAGUUGGGCACUCUGAAAGAACUGCCAGUGAUAAGCUGGAGGAAGGUGGGGAUGACGUCAAGUCCUCAUGGCCCUUACGUGUUGGGCUACACACGUGCUACAAUGGUAUCUACAACAGGAUGCGAAACGGCGACGUUAAGCAAAUCCCUAAAAGAUACCUCAGUUCGGAUUGCACUCUGCAACUCGAGUGCAUG